GUAACAUCAACACGUUCCGUGGAGCAAGAUGUCUUGUCACCUACUGAGGCUGCUAGAGUGUUUGAGAGUCAGUUAGCUGAAUCCAUUUUAGAAGGUGAUGGCCAGCUUGCCUUUAAGAAGCUUGCCACUGCAACGCUUGAAACUUUGAUGCCAAGAAUAGAGGGGAAAGGGGAGUUUGGACAGGCCAGAUGGAGGCUAGUUUAUGCACCACAGAUACCCAACUUGCUUUCUGUUGAUCCCAGUGUUGAUCCUCUUAAGUCACUGGCCAGCAAUAUUUCAUUCGGUACAGAAGUUGAAGUCCAACUAGGGAAGCGCCUCCAGGCCUCUGUCGUAAGGCAGAUGAAGGAUUCUGAGAUGGCAAUGCAAUGGACCUUGAUAUAUCAGCUGACAAGCCGGCUCCGGGUGCUUUUACAGUCUACUCCAUCCAAACGUCUUCUAUUCGAAUAUUCAACAACAUCGCAAGACUAAGAUAAGGUUUUCGACAGUGUAUAUAUAUUUAUUCUUUCUAUAGUAGCCUAGGUGUCUAGAACAACCCCCCCAUAACCAUCCUCUACCUG
RNAcentral lists this unclassified non-coding RNA (557 nucleotides) under Hevea brasiliensis (rubber tree). Lineage: Eukaryota; Viridiplantae; Streptophyta; Magnoliopsida; Malpighiales; Euphorbiaceae. The record is from RNAcentral.